Molecule: ribosomal RNA, 204 nt
Filed under: uncultured Lactobacillus sp.
Lineage: Bacteria; Bacillati; Bacillota; Bacilli; Lactobacillales; Lactobacillaceae
Description: partial 16S ribosomal RNA
Rfam family: Bacterial small subunit ribosomal RNA
Source: RNAcentral
GAUGCUAAUACCGGAUAACAAACAGAUGAUGCCUAUCAACUGUUUAAAAGAUGGUUCUGCUAUCACUCUUGGAUGGACCUGCGGUGCAUUAGCUAGUUGGUAGGGUAACGGCCUACCAAGGCGAUGAUGCAUAGCCGAGUUGAGAGACUGAUCGGCCACAUUGGGACUGAGACACGGCCCAAACUCCUACGGGAGGCAGCAGCG